This 301-nucleotide ribosomal RNA is filed under the name uncultured bacterium. RNAcentral's name for it is "partial 16S ribosomal RNA". It matches the Rfam family "Bacterial small subunit ribosomal RNA", at positions 509 to 808 of the family's 1533-position model. The record is from RNAcentral.
CAGUCGCCGCGGUAAUACGUAGGUGGCAAGCGUUGUCCGGAAUUAUUGGGCGUAAAGCGCGCGCAGGCGGAUCAGUCAGUCUGUCUUAAAGGUUCGGGGCUUAACCCCGUGAUGGGAUGGAAACUGCUGAUCUAGAGUAUCGGAGAGGAAAGUGGAAUUCCUAGUGUAGCGGUGAAAUGCGUAGAUAUUAGGAAGAACACCAGUGGCGAAGGCGACUUUCUGGACGAAAACUGACGCUGAGGCGCGAAAGCCAGGGGAGCGAACGGGAUUAGAUACCCGGGUAGUCCCUGUCUCUUAUACC